UAAUCUAUUCUUUCUUUACUCCGUUGACAAUGGGACAAUGUUCUUUUUGUGUUUCAGAGUAAAAAAACAGACUCCAAUCUGAAUCUGACGAGUAAAAAAAUAUCGUUGUGUUUCAGAGUGUUACGCAAUUUAUCAACAAGAGCAAAGACUCUAAUCUGAUGAUGUAGGACAGCUUUAAUGUGACAGAGGAUCAUGGUGGUCGAUGGAUUGUGCACCCGGUAGUAGACUAGGAAAGGAACAUUAUUUACGGAACACAAUGAUAUUCAGAGCAGCCCUGCACUAUGUGAGAUUUAGAAGGUAUUCAAAUUAGUGUUUGUUGAUAACUGCAAAUUCCGUGUGUCCGAGUUUCAUAUUUUUCUUUCUAUCCCUGUCAACGUACUAAUCCGUUGUUCUUUGAUGUGCAGUUGGUACUGCCGGCGGAUGCAUCCAUGUGCUAAUCUCCUGGCACCGCGUAGACGGAGCCAAACGAGUUGGGGCCUCCAGCCGGCUGGUAGUGGACAACAACACCGGGUUUGUUAAUUAAUCAACAAGUCACAGAUUGUCCUCUUUUCUGAUUGGUCUGGUGUGGAUUAUCAGGCCUGCCGCGCAAUCAUAGAUUUAUCUUUUGAUUUUUGUGGGUGGACAGAAACACCCUUUCUAAAGUUUUCUAGGGAUUGUAAUGAAGCACAGUAACACACUCCAGCAUUCAUUCUUUGCUUGAUAUUAGCAAACAAUGUAAAAUAACCAAGCUCACAACAUUCUAAAGCGGUCUAUUAGCUACUUCAGCAGACAACAGACAGAAAGAAGUA
This 788-nucleotide long non-coding RNA is filed under the name Triticum aestivum (bread wheat). RNAcentral's name for it is "long non-coding RNA (TAES_LNC019103)". The record is from RNAcentral. Lineage: Eukaryota; Viridiplantae; Streptophyta; Magnoliopsida; Poales; Poaceae.